GAAUCUGGAUCUUGGUCAUCUAGUCAGCCGGUUUGUGUUGCAUGUCAGCAGCCAACUAUUUUGGAAAACGGUAACUUUGUGAUAAGUACCGAUGGGCAACAGACAACCGCAAACUAUUCGUGUCAAUCUGACUAUACCCUCGUUGGAGACGACGUCCAGUAUUGUGGAAAUGAUGGCUCAUGGACGGUCAACAUGCCUACUUGCGUUUGUUCUGCCUUUCACACGCCGACAAACGGAGACAUUG
Long non-coding RNA from Mya arenaria, 244 nucleotides. RefSeq lists it as uncharacterized. NCBI's taxonomy places the organism in Eukaryota, Metazoa, Mollusca, Bivalvia, Myida, Myidae. The transcript is spliced from 3 exons. The record is from RefSeq and is a predicted model, not a curated record.